RNAcentral lists this ribosomal RNA (466 nucleotides) under uncultured bacterium. Its description in RNAcentral is "partial 16S ribosomal RNA". It matches the Rfam family "Bacterial small subunit ribosomal RNA", at positions 339 to 795 of the family's 1533-position model. The record is from RNAcentral.
CUACGGGGGGCUGCAGUCGAGAAUAGUCUACAAUGGACGAAAGUCUGAUAGUGCGACGCCGCGUGGAUGAAGAAGCAUUUCGGUGUGUAAAGUCCUUUUCUGUGAGAGCAAUGUUUUCCAGGUUAAUAGCUUGGAGAAAGCGAUAUUAUCACAGGAAUAAGCUCCGGCUAACUCCGUGCCAGCAGCCGCGGUAACACGGGGGGAGCAAGCGUUGUCCGGAAUUACUAGGCGUAAAGGGUAAGUAGGCGGAAUUGUAAGUCAGAUGUUAAAGGCACCGGCUCAACCGAUGUAUGGCAUUUGAUACUGUAAUUCGAGAGUAAGGUGGGGGAAGACGGAAUUCCUGGUGUAGCGGUGGAAUGCGCAGAUAUCAGGAGGAACACCAGAGGCGAAGGCGGUCUUCUAUACCAUUACUGACGCUCAAUUACGAAGGUGUGGGUAUCAAACAGGAUUAGAUACCCGUGUAGUC